This 376-nucleotide ribosomal RNA is filed under the name uncultured bacterium. RNAcentral's name for it is "bacterial SSU rRNA". It matches the Rfam family "Bacterial small subunit ribosomal RNA", at positions 523 to 898 of the family's 1533-position model. The record is from RNAcentral.
AUACGUAGGGAGCGAGCGUUGUCCGGAAUUACUGGGUGUAAAGGGUGCGUAGGCGGGACUGCAAGUCAGGCGUGAAAUACCGGGGCUUAACUCCGGGGCUGCGCUUGAAACUGUGGUUCUUGAGUGAAGUAGAGGCAGGCGGAAUUCCUAGUGUAGCGGUGAAAUGCGUAGAUAUUAGGAGGAACACCAGUGGCGAAGGCGGCCUGCUGGGCUUUAACUGACGCUGAGGCACGAAAGCAUGGGGAGCAAACAGGAUUAGAUACCCUGGUAGUCCAUGCUGUAAACGAUGAUAGCUAGGUGUGGGGGGACUGACCCCUUCCGUGCCGGAGUUAACACAAUAAGCUAUCCACCUGGGGAGUACGACCGCAAGGUUGAA